AAGAACCUGAAACCGUGUACGUACAAGCAGUGGGAGCACAGGUUUACCUGUGUGACUGCGUACCUUUUGUAUAAUGGGUCAGCGACUUAUAUUCUGUAGCAAGGUUAACCGUAUAGGGGAGCCGUAGGGAAACCGAGUCUUAACCGGGCGUUAAGUUGCAGGGUAUAGACCCGAAACCCGGUGAUCUAGCCAUGGGCAGGUUGAAGGUUGGGUAACACUAACUGGAGGACCGAACCGACUAAUGUUGAAAAAUUAGCGGAUGACCUGUGGCUGGGGGUGAAAGGCCAAUCAAACCGGGAGAUAGCUGGUUCUCCCCGAAAGCUAUUUAGGUAGCGCCUCGUGAAUUCAUCUCCGGGGGUAGAGCACUGUUUCGGCUAGGGGGCCAUCCCGGCUUACCAACCCGAUGCAAACUGCGAAUACCGGAGAAUGUUAUCACGGGAGACACACGGCGGGUGCUAACGUCCGUCGUGAAGAGGGAAACAACCCAGACCGCCAGCUAAGGUCCCAAAGUCAUGGUUAAGUGGGAAACGAUGUGGGAAGGCCCAGACAGCCAGGAUGUUGGCUUAGAAGCAGCCAUCAUUUAAAGAAAGCGUAAUAGCUCACUGGUCGAGUCGGCCUGCGCGGAAGAUGUAACGGGGCUAAACCAUGCACCGAAGCUGCGGCAGCGAACGUAUCACCCAAGACAACUUUACGGAGUUGACGAUUGACGGAGCGAAGCGACGUCAAAGCGUUCAUUAAAGUCGAGUUGGCUUAGGGAUACGUUCGUUGGGUAGGGGAGCGUUCUGUAAGCCUGUGAAGGUGUGUCGUGAGGCAUGCUGGAGGUAUCAGAAGUGCGAAUGCUGACAUAAGUAACGAUAAAGCGGGUGAAAAGCCCGCUCGCCGGAAGACCAAGGGUUCCUGUCCAACGUUAAUCGGGGCAGGGUGAGUCGACCCCUAAGGCGAGGCCGAAAGGCGUAGUCGAUGGGAAACGGGUUAAUAUUCCCGUACUUGGUGUUACUGCGAAGGGGGGACGGAGAAGGCUAUGUUGGCCGGGCGACGGUUGUCCCGGUUUAAGCGUGUAGGUGUGUGUUCCAGGUAAAUCCGGUUCACUUUAACACUGAGGCGUGACGACGAGGCACUACGGUGCUGAAGCAACAAAUGCCCUGCUUCCAGGAAAAGCCUCUAAGCAUCAGGUAACACGAAAUCGUACCCCAAACCGACACAGGUGGUCAGGUAGAGAAUACCAAGGCGCUUGAGAGAACUCGGGUGAAGGAACUAGGCAAAAUGGUGCCGUAACUUCGGGAGAAGGCACGCUGACACGUAGGUGAAGUGAUUUACUCAUGGAGCUGAAGUCAGUCGAAGAUACCAGCUGGCUGCAACUGUUUAUUAAAAACACAGCACUGUGCAAACACGAAAGUGGACGUAUACGGUGUGACGCCUGCCCGGUGCCGGAA
RNAcentral lists this ribosomal RNA (1433 nucleotides) under Salmonella enterica subsp. enterica serovar Typhimurium. RNAcentral describes it as "partial 23S ribosomal RNA". It matches the Rfam family "Bacterial large subunit ribosomal RNA", at positions 544 to 1874 of the family's 2925-position model. The record is from RNAcentral. Lineage: Bacteria; Pseudomonadati; Pseudomonadota; Gammaproteobacteria; Enterobacterales; Enterobacteriaceae.